RNAcentral lists this unclassified non-coding RNA (343 nucleotides) under Hevea brasiliensis (rubber tree). The record is from RNAcentral. Lineage: Eukaryota; Viridiplantae; Streptophyta; Magnoliopsida; Malpighiales; Euphorbiaceae.
GUGAAAGCUAUCAAGAAAAGAACAUGCUUACUCUCUGUUAAAGCAUGUGAAAGAGUGAAAAUCAAUAUGUUGUUCUUUCAGAGCAUUGGGUUUACCGAUGAUGAUAUCAAAAAAUUCAUACUUCAAAACCCAUAUACUCUUUUGGCAAGUCCUGAGGUUGUAGAGGAAAAAGUUCACAGACUUGAAAAUGAAUUUCAUAUUUCUCGAGCAUCGGGAUUGUUUAUCCAUGGAGUUGAUGUGUUUAUUUCGAUGAAAGAGUCGACUGUAGACACAAAACUUGAUGUUUUAAGGGAUUAUGGUUGGUCUAAAUGGGAGAUAAUCAAAUUGGUUCAGCUUUUGCCUU